CAGGAGGUAGUUUAAUUUAAAAUAUUAAUUUUGGAGAUUAAUGAUAAAGUACUUUCUUUUCUCUUGA
Molecule: transfer RNA, 67 nt
Filed under: Zeugodacus rubellus
Lineage: Eukaryota; Metazoa; Arthropoda; Insecta; Diptera; Tephritidae
Description: tRNA-Pro
Source: RNAcentral